GGGGGAGAAAAAAAUCGACAAAGAAGAAAAAACAUAAAAGGGAAGGAUGAAAACAGGGAGAAGAUUCAUCCAAGGGAGGAGGGGGGACGUUUGCUCACCUUUUUCUCUGAAAGGUAAAUAUUUGGGAAGCACUGAAUUCCACUCAAUCACCACUACCCCCUAAAUCCCUUAAUUAACUCCCCUUAUCCCUAAUUUCACUCCCUAAACGUCCACCAUAAUCCCCUCAACCAUUGAAUUCAAACCCCACAGAAACUAUUCAGAAUUUUAGUCAAACUACA
This 278-nucleotide long non-coding RNA is filed under the name Gossypium raimondii (Peruvian cotton). Its description in RNAcentral is "long non-coding RNA (GRAI_LNC001149)". Lineage: Eukaryota; Viridiplantae; Streptophyta; Magnoliopsida; Malvales; Malvaceae. The record is from RNAcentral.